AGCUUGCUCUUAUGAAGUUAGCGGCGGACGGGUGAGUAACACGUGGGUAACCUGCCCAUAAGACUGGGAUAACUCCGGGAAACCGGGGCUAAUACCGGAUAACAUUUUGAACUGCAUGGUUCGAAAUUGAAAGGCGGCUUCGGCUGUCACUUAUGGAUGGACCCGCGUCGCAUUAGCUAGUUGGUGAGGUAACGGCUCACCAAGGCAACGAUGCGUAGCCGACCUGAGAGGGUGAUCGGCCACACUGGGACUGAGACACGGCCCAGACUCCUACGGGAGGCAGCAGUAGGGAAUCUUCCGCAAUGGACGAAAGUCUGACGGAGCAACGCCGCGUGAGUGAUGAAGGCUUUCGGGUCGUAAAACUCUGUUGUUAGGGAAGAACAAGUGCUAGUUGAAUAAGCUGGCACCUUGACGGUACCUAACCAGAAAGCCACGGCUAACUACGUGCCAGCAGCCGCGGUAAUACGUAGGUGGCAAGCGUUAUCCGGAAUUAUUGGGCGUAAAGCGCGCGCAGGUGGUUUCUUAAGUCUGAUGUGAAAGCCCACGGCUCAACCGUGGAGGGUCAUUGGAAACUGGGAGACUUGAGUGCAGAAGAGGAAAGUGGAAUUCCAUGUGUAGCGGUGAAAUGCGUAGAGAUAUGGAGGAACACCAGUGGCGAAGGCGACUUUCUGGUCUGUAACUGACACUGAGGCGCGAAAGCGUGGGGAGCAAACAGGAUUAGAUACCCUG
RNAcentral lists this ribosomal RNA (729 nucleotides) under uncultured bacterium. Its description in RNAcentral is "bacterial SSU rRNA". It matches the Rfam family "Bacterial small subunit ribosomal RNA", at positions 77 to 789 of the family's 1533-position model. The record is from RNAcentral.